GAUGUCAUAGGUGAAUUAGGACUGCUGGAAAUUAAAAUUAAUUAAAAAAAAACGUUUUUUGCCCUAUUGUCUAGUAAUAUCUCACAACUGGGCAUGGGAUUUGCUGUCCAAAAAUAAGCUUUACCCAAAAUUAUUAAAAAUUCCUACUUUUCUCCCUUUUUAUAUUGGCAUGCUUCCAUUGUUGUUUAACUUGCUUAUUCACUAAAAAAUGC
Molecule: unclassified non-coding RNA, 212 nt
Filed under: Hevea brasiliensis (rubber tree)
Lineage: Eukaryota; Viridiplantae; Streptophyta; Magnoliopsida; Malpighiales; Euphorbiaceae
Source: RNAcentral